Long non-coding RNA from Erigeron canadensis, 482 nucleotides. RefSeq lists it as uncharacterized. NCBI's taxonomy places the organism in Eukaryota, Viridiplantae, Streptophyta, Magnoliopsida, Asterales, Asteraceae. The transcript has 3 exons. The record is from RefSeq and is a predicted model, not a curated record.
CAAUUGAUUUGGCAAAGAGGAAUUCAAAGAAAAUAAUUUUAAUUGUUGUAAUAAUAAUCUUUUGGCAAGGGUUCUUUACCAUCAUCUUCGUCUUCUUCUUUUGAUCUCAAGAACACUAAAUUUUGGUUUUGGAUAAACGUGGAGACUAGAUUGCUCAUUCUCAAGUUUGCUCGCCCUUUAAGCUAUUUGAUCGCUAAGGUAACCAACAGUUAGUCUUGGACCGUCUUUGGCAUUGUAGGGCCAUUCUUUUGGAUUGGACGUACAAUUAACAUCAGACAUUUGAGGACUCUGAUGUUUUUAGCUUUAGUUGUAUUAGAUUGUCCAGAUUAUUAAACUCGUAUUUCAGUGGGCCCAGUUUCAAAUGAGGAUGACUUGUAUCCGUAAUUUGGGGUCUACAUUUGAACGAUUGUACUUGUAUUAAACUUGUAUUGGCAUUAAUGGAUGUAAUCUCUAUUACCUUCUGAUUAGUACGCAAUUAUUUG